ACACUGGAAACACAAUUUUGCACCGGGCUAUUCUACAAAGACACAGCAGGGCAUAUGGAUGCCACCGAUCCA
This is a non-coding RNA of Pangasianodon gigas (Mekong giant catfish), 72 nucleotides long. NCBI's taxonomy places the organism in Eukaryota, Metazoa, Chordata, Actinopteri, Siluriformes, Pangasiidae. The record is from the annotation of a GenBank genome assembly.